AAUUGAAUGAAGAACACUGUUAAUAAAGAGCAUUAUAAAAAGUGCCGGAGACAAUCUAGUCGUAGCAAUACUAUGUAAGAAAAUAUUGAACCCAACUGUCCAUUCCAUUGUGAAAUCCUUACUCCGAUUGAUGGUUAUGGGGCCUACGGCUGGCGAGAAAGAUGAUGUGCGCGCUGUUGCUACUUACCAGAUGUCUGAAGAAGCACUGCUGUAAUAACGAGAAAAAUCCAGCCAAAGCGUAUAGAUGACAUCUUUUGCCCUGAAUAGUUACGGAAUGAGUAUUUUGAACUGAAGAAUCAUCGGGCGUCAGCCGUAUUUUCAAACGCGUGUCAAUCUCCUCUCAGCAGUAUUCGAGAUUUCGACUCAAGAUGUUAGUGACCAUUACGGCGCGUCAAUGCGAUUACUACCUCAAAGAACAUAAAUAUUUGAUGCUCUUUCCACCUCCAUAUGUGUCUCCCCACAUGGUCUUCCCACUUCCCUUUUAACACGGAAUGCCAGCCAAGCAAAAUACAGCUGCUAGCAGGAAAUUCCCAGCAUAGGAACGGGGUUGCGUUAUUUUUCUUUUCUAAUCUGGCUCCUACGAGCAAGGGUCAGCAAGCAUUUUUUUUUAACCCGGGUUAAAACGGUGAGCCUGGGCUCGAUACUUCACUUUAUUCCUUUAGAAUUCUUCAUUUUUCUCGGGAGUUCCUUUAUCUUAAUAUCAAUCUUGAAUGUCGCAGUAAACGUUAUCUCUGUACUGAAUAAAUACAAAUUAAAAUAUCAGAAAACGAAUGGAGAAGUGUAGAAGUCCGCUCGUAAGGCCUCACAGGAUUGGCUAGAUUACCCUCAUUGUUCUAUUGUAUUCCCGUUCUUCGUCUGUGUUGCAUCAAUCCAAACCAAUCCAAUGUGGUGAAAUCUUCCCAACGAAUGAGCAAAAGGAGAGCGAGGGUGAGCAAGGAAUAUGAACUUGACCGAACAACAAAGAACGGGGGUGAGAAAAGGGAAACAAGGGUGAACAAUGGAAUUGUAACUGGUAGACAGUAAAAAAAAAUAUUAAAUUCGAGUAAUGGCCGAGAAUCGAACCUCGUGCAGAUCAGGUAAAAUAA
Molecule: long non-coding RNA, 1085 nt
Organism: Nematostella vectensis (starlet sea anemone)
Lineage: Eukaryota; Metazoa; Cnidaria; Anthozoa; Actiniaria; Edwardsiidae
Exons: 2
Source: RefSeq, a predicted model, not a curated record